This 72-nucleotide transfer RNA is filed under the name Camelus bactrianus (Bactrian camel). It matches the Rfam family "tRNA". Rfam says of the family: Transfer RNA (tRNA) molecules are approximately 80 nucleotides in length. Their secondary structure includes four short double-helical elements and three loops (D, anti-codon, and T loops). Lineage: Eukaryota; Metazoa; Chordata; Mammalia; Artiodactyla; Camelidae. The record is from Rfam by way of RNAcentral. RNAcentral also lists the same sequence under 2 other names.
GGGAGUAUAGCUCAGUUGUAUAGCACCUGCCUAGCAUGCAUGAGGUCUUGGGUUCAAUCCUCAGUGCCUCCA